ACAGGCUUAACACAUGCAAGUCGAGGGGCAGCAUGGUCUUAGCUUGCUAAGGCUGAUGGCGACCGGCGCACGGGUGAGUAACACGUAUCCAACCUGCCGUCUACUCUUGGCCAGCCUUCUGGAAGGAAGAUUAAUCCAGGAUGGGAUCAUGAGUUCACAUGUCCGCGUGAUUAAAGGUAUUUUCCGGUAGACGAUGGGGAUGCGUUCCAUUAGAUAGUAGGCGGGGUAACGGCCCACCUAGUCAACGAUGGAUAGGGGUUCUGAGAGGAAGGUCCCCCACAUUGGAACUGAGACACGGUCCAAACUCCUACGGGAGGCAGCAGUGAGGAAUAUUGGUCAAUGGGCGAUGGCCUGAACCAGCCAAGUAGCGUGAAGGAUGACUGCCCUAUGGGUUGUAAACUUCUUUUAUAAAGGAAUAAAGUCGGGUAUGCAUACCCGUUUGCAUGUACUUUAUGAAUAAGGAUCGGCUAACUCCGUGCCAGCAGCCGCGGUAAUACGGAGGAUCCGAGCGUUAUCCGGAUUUAUUGGGUUUAAAGGAAGCGUAGAUGGAUGUUUAAGUCAGUUGUGAAAGUUUGCGGCUCAACCGUAAAAUUGCAGUUGAUACUGGAUGUCUUGAGUGCAGUUGAGGCAGGCGGAAUUCGUGGUGUAGCGGUGAAAUGCUUAGAUAUCACGAAGAACUCCGAUUGCGAAGGCAGCCUGCUAAGCUGCAACUGACAUUGAGGCUCGAAAGUGUGGGUAUCAAACAGG
RNAcentral lists this ribosomal RNA (747 nucleotides) under uncultured Bacteroidales bacterium. RNAcentral's name for it is "bacterial SSU rRNA". It matches the Rfam family "Bacterial small subunit ribosomal RNA", at positions 42 to 776 of the family's 1533-position model. The record is from RNAcentral. Lineage: Bacteria; Pseudomonadati; Bacteroidota; Bacteroidia; Bacteroidales.